This is an RNA transcript of Ctenocephalides felis (cat flea), 1621 nucleotides long. It is a transcript of the gene named histone deacetylase 3, with no coding region annotated. The transcript has 9 exons. NCBI's taxonomy places the organism in Eukaryota, Metazoa, Arthropoda, Insecta, Siphonaptera, Pulicidae. The record is from RefSeq and is a predicted model, not a curated record.
UGAGUUAACCAAAUCCAAUUUUACCAUGAAAAAUGAUAUACAACUCACUAAGAAAUUAUUAGUUAUAGUCAUUGUUUUAUCUUUUAUAUACAUAUUAAAGGAGUAUAUUUUUUAAUAAUUAAUUUAUUAGUAUUGUGAUAAAUCAUGAGUCGAAAAGUUUCAUAUUUUUAUAAUCCUAAUGUGGGUAAUUUCCAUUAUGGGCCUGGGCACCCAAUGAAACCUCAUAGGUUAUCUGUGAUUCAUAGUUUAGUUCUGAAUUAUGGUUUGCAUAAAAAGAUGCAGAUUUAUCGCCCAUAUAGUGCAAGUACUCAUGAUAUGUGCAGAUUUCACAGCGAUGAAUACAUCGAGUUUUUGCAAAGAGUGACUCCACAAAAUAUUCAAGGAUAUACAAAAUACCUGUCACAUUUUAAUGUAGGCGAUGAUUGUCCUGUAUUCGAUGGUUUAUUUGACUUCUGUUCUAUGUAUACAGGGGCAUCCUUAGAAGGUGCUCAAAAAUUAAAUAAAAAUCAUUGUGAUAUUGCUAUUAACUGGAGUGGAGGAUUACAUCAUGCUAAAAAAUUUGAAGCUAGCGGUUUUUGUUAUGUAAAUGACAUUGUGAUAGCUAUAUUAGAAUUACUUAAAUACCAUCCAAGGGUUCUAUAUAUCGAUAUUGAUGUGCAUCAUGGUGAUGGGGUGCAAGAAGCCUUUUAUCUAACUGACCGAGUAAUGACAGUGUCUUUCCACAAGUAUGGAAAUUAUUUCUUUCCAGGAACAGGAGAUAUGUAUGAAAUUGGUGCUGAGAGUGGACGAUAUUAUUCAGUCAAUGUGCCACUUAAAGAAGGCAUUGAUGAUCAGAGCUAUUUUCAAGUGUUUAAACCUGUAAUAAGUGCUGUGAUGGAAUUCUAUAAACCAACUGCAAUAGUUUUGCAAUGUGGUGCUGAUUCUUUGGCUGGUGAUCGUCUUGGAUGUUUUUCUCUGAGCACAAGAGGGCAUGGAGAUUGUGUUAAAUAUGUUAGAGAUUUGAAUGUACCCACAUUAGUUGUAGGAGGAGGAGGGUAUACAUUGAGGAAUGUGGCUCGUUGUUGGACAUAUGAAACAUCUCUCUUAGUUGAUGAACAAAUUUCAAAUGAACUACCCUUAACAGAAUAUUUAGAAUACUUUGCUCCUGACUUUAGUUUGCACCCUGAAAUUGCUACACGACAAGAUAAUGCUAAUACUAAACAGUAUUUGGAAACUAUUACAAAGCAUGUGUACGAUAAUUUGAAAAUGUGUGCCAAUUCACCAAGUGUGCAAAUGCAUAUGGUCCCAGAAGAUGCAUUUCCUGAGGAUGAAAAAAUUAAAGAAGAACCAGAUCCAGAUGUCAGAAUCAGUCAGGCUGAUGAAGACAAAGCUGUAGAACCAGUAAAUGAAUUUUAUUCCGGGGAUAAAGAUCAAGAUAAGACAAGUGAAAAUUCUGAACCCUAACAAAUAUGAACUAGCUGUACCCGAUCACGCAUUGCUUUGUUACACUUAUAAAUAAAAAUCCAGAGAAAAUAGCGGACAUAUCUUUUAUGGUUGAUUAGAUGCAUCAUCAAGUGAAACAUGUUAGAGAUUUCAGUAUUUAUUAUUACAUUAACAUUGUGCGCAGUUUAAUAAAAUCACA